UGUGAGCGGGGCCAACCCUAGUCAGUCGGAGUAGGAGUUCAGCUGAAAGUUGUGGUCUCACUACCUACUAGUGGGAAGAGCAUAUUUCUAGCACGCUUCCGCGUCGCCGCCGCCGGCGGGCAGGGACUACAAGUUCCGGCCGGCAGAAGGGCAGGAGUGGGGGCGGGAGAGGGCGGUGGAUGAGGCCUUCUGGGAAUUGUAGUAUUGUCCGCUCCGCGUUAGCAGCAGGUUACCAACGCUUGUCUUCCUGCCCUGCCUGCCCUCUGGUGGAGGUGCAAAAGAGCAGGCCAGAUCAAGCAGGGGAACAGUGAAAAAGAUGGAGAGUUGGUGCAGCCAAGCAGAUGCAUCCUCCCUAGACUUUGAUUCAGGAGCUGGUGACUCAAAGCAGCAGGGAUGACGCAGAGUCCGUUCUGGCCAGGGCACAGAGGCAACGGCAGCUGCAUCCGGUUUCCAGUGGCACCAGGGACAGCUGUUCUGUGGCAUUGUGCAGUGUCCAGCAUGCAAGGACUUGGCAGUGCGAGCCGUGGGUCAGUGCUUGGCAGCUGCCACAGUGACUUCACAGGAGUUGUUCUGCAGAGCACUUUGGGAGUGGUUCUUGCCCAGUGGUUUGUCUUCCCACCUUUACUUCUUAAAUUGGCUUUAAAGUUGACAAUUCAUUGGAACAAAUACUAAUAAUACUAAUAACUAAAUUAUAGAUCCUUUUUAUUAUGUGCCAGGAAAAUUUCAAAGUGCUUUAUGUAUGUUGAUUCAUUUAAUGUUUAUAACAACCUAUGACAUAUACACUAGUAUUAUUCUCAUUUUGCAGAUGAUAUACCAAGUUACAGAGAGGUUAGGUUACUUGCUCAAGUUCACACAACUGUAAAUGACUGCUCUGAAACCCAAACCUAGUCAGUCUGUCCUAGUUCUGAAGAGCUCUGACUGAUACAAGUACUGUUUUAUU
Molecule: long non-coding RNA, 940 nt
Organism: Manis pentadactyla (Chinese pangolin)
Lineage: Eukaryota; Metazoa; Chordata; Mammalia; Pholidota; Manidae
Exons: 3
Source: RefSeq, a predicted model, not a curated record